This 77-nucleotide transfer RNA is filed under the name Candidatus Eremiobacteraceae bacterium. RNAcentral's name for it is "tRNA-Asp". It matches the Rfam family "tRNA". Rfam says of the family: Transfer RNA (tRNA) molecules are approximately 80 nucleotides in length. Their secondary structure includes four short double-helical elements and three loops (D, anti-codon, and T loops). RNAcentral also lists the same sequence under 1 other name. Lineage: Bacteria; Bacillati; Vulcanimicrobiota; Vulcanimicrobiia; Candidatus Eremiobacterales; Candidatus Eremiobacteraceae. The record is from RNAcentral.
GGCGCUGUAGCUCAGUUGGUUAGAGCGCCUGCCUGUCACGCAGGAGGUCGUCGGUUCGAGCCCGAUCAGCGUCGCCA